This 29-nucleotide non-coding RNA is filed under the name Mus musculus (house mouse). Lineage: Eukaryota; Metazoa; Chordata; Mammalia; Rodentia; Muridae. The record is from RNAcentral.
UNGCCAGUCACUCGUGCACAGGAUCACUC